RNAcentral lists this small RNA (80 nucleotides) under Bombus vosnesenskii. RNAcentral describes it as "Arthropod 7SK RNA". It matches the Rfam family "Arthropod 7SK RNA", at positions 15 to 97 of the family's 351-position model. The record is from Rfam by way of RNAcentral. Lineage: Eukaryota; Metazoa; Arthropoda; Insecta; Hymenoptera; Apidae.
GUGAUGGCACAACUGAACAUUGAUCGCUAACGUUAGAAAUAAGCAGAUCUGUUCAGUGGGUGUCGUCACGUGUUCGCUUC